RNAcentral lists this ribosomal RNA (1452 nucleotides) under oral metagenome. RNAcentral describes it as "bacterial LSU rRNA". It matches the Rfam family "Bacterial large subunit ribosomal RNA", at positions 696 to 2006 of the family's 2925-position model. The record is from RNAcentral.
CAAGUCGCGUGACCUAGACCCGAAGCGAAGUGAUCUAUCCAUGGCCAGGUUGAAGCGCGGGUAAGACCGCGUGGAGGACCGAACCCACCAGGGUUGAAAACCUGGGGGAUGAGCUGUGGAUAGGGGUGAAAGGCCAAUCAAACUUCGUGAUAGCUGGUUCUCCCCGAAAUGCAUUUAGGUGCAGCGUCAUGUGUUUCUUACCGGAGGUAGAGCUACUGGAUGGCCAAUGGGCCCCACAAGGUUACUGACGUCAACUAAACUCCGAAUGCCGGUAAGUGAGAGCAUGGCAGUGAGACUGCGGGGGAUAAGCUUCGUAGUCGAAAGGGAAACAGCCCAGAUCACCGGCUAAGGCCCCUAAGCGUGUGCUAAGUGGAAAAGGAUGUGGAGUUGCCCAGACAACCAGGAGGUUGGCUUAGAAGCAGCCACCCUUGAAAGAGUGCGUAAUAGCUCACUGGUCAAGUGAUUCCGCGCCGACAAUGUAGCGGGGCUCAAGCACACCGCCGAAGCCGUGACAUAUGCGCAAUAUCUAGGCCUUCGUGGUCCAGGAGCGUAGAUGGGUAGGGGAGCGUCGUGUGGCGAGCGAAGCAGCGGGGUAACCCAGCUGUGGACGCCACACGAGUGAGAAUGCAGGCAUGAGUAGCGAAAGACGGGUGAGAAACCCGUCCGCCGAAUGACCAAGGGUUCCAGGGCCAGGUUAAUCCGCCCUGGGUAAGUCGGGACCUAAGGCGAGGCCGACAGGCGUAGUCGAUGGACAACGGGUUGAUAUUCCCGUACCGGCGAAAAACCGUCCAUGCCGAAUGUGAGGAAGCUAAGUGCCCGAAGCGACGUCGCCGCCUUGUGCGGUGUAGUUCGUGGAGCGCACGACCCGAUUCAUUAGUAGGCAAGCGUAUUAACAGGAGUGACGCAGAAGGGUAGCCACCGCGUGCGCGAUGGUAGUCCACGUCCAAGGGUGUAGGGCGAAGUGUAGGCAAAUCCGCACUUCAUGAAGCCUGAGACCUGAUGGUGACAGCAAUAGCUGGAAGAGGGUGAUCCCAUGCUGCCGAGAAAAGCUUCGACGCGAGGUUUCAGCCGCCCGUACCCUAAACCGACUCAGGUGGUCAGGUAGAGAAUACCAAGGCGAUCGAGAGAAUCGUGGUUAAGGAACUCGGCAAAAUGCCCCCGUAACUUCGGGAGAAGGGGGGCCUGAAGGGUGUACUCACUUGCUGAGGAAGCCCAGAGGGCCGCAGAGACCAGGGAGAAGCGACUGUUUACUAAAAACACAGGUCCGUGCGAAGUCGUAAGACGAUGUAUACGGACUGACGCCUGCCCGGUGCUGGAACGUUAAGGGGACGGGUUAGUCGAAAGGCGAAGCUCAGAACUUAAGCGCCAGUAAACGGCGGUGGUAACUAUAACCAUCCUAAGGUAGCGAAAUUCCUUGUCGGGUAAGUUCCGACCUGCACGAAUGGCGUAACG